AGAAGACGAGAAAGAGGAGAUUAGUCUACAUUUUUGUGGAUAAACUGUACAGUAGCGUUUUGGAGGCAACUGUACCUAGAUCUUAAUGGGAUGGAAAAGUUUUGAGGUUUGAUUUAUCAACCUCAAAAAUCUCCGGCAAGUGCCAGGAAGAAUGUUGUCAUAGAAAACGCUUGAACUGGAAAGAAUUUGUUGCUAUUUAUAUGUUUGUAGAUACAUAUCUCAAAUUUUAGCGUCUGUUUUUGUUUCCCCUUGUUGAUUAGCGCCAUUCGCAUGAUGUCAUUUGGAUCGCCAUUCGUUCUUUGCUACAAAACAUUCUAGCUAAUUCCACUCAAGCUCAGUUUCGAGUUCUGAGCCGGCUCUACGGGGCCUCCAACGACAAACAUUCAGAGAGUUCAAGGCGUAACCCAGUGACUCAUAGCAGAUGGUACACAUUUUCGGCACAUCAAGAAAUUAAUGGGUCGAAAGUAACACUAAAAAGCCAGUAUCGCGUAUUCCCGUUAAUUGAAUCUGGACGAUCACAAGGUGAAAGUUGCAUAUAUUUUCCACUGAAAUCCGUUGACACGAUUUCAUUUUGGUCGUGGGCCAAAAGUUUCGUUCGCCUGAGUCUCCCUGUGCUGAGAUUCACCCAAUUAUCCGUUCCAUUAUCCAACUGCUCUAGGCACUCCACCCACUUGGGAACUCACCGAUGGGCAUGGCUGCUG
Long non-coding RNA from Drosophila biarmipes, 701 nucleotides. RefSeq lists it as uncharacterized. The transcript has 3 exons. NCBI's taxonomy places the organism in Eukaryota, Metazoa, Arthropoda, Insecta, Diptera, Drosophilidae. The record is from RefSeq and is a predicted model, not a curated record.